GUCCUCUGGCAUGGACUGUCUCCAGUCCAUCACUCACUGUCCCCACCAGCCCUGCAGAACACUUUGCACACUCCCCCUCUCAGAACUCCGCUCUAACUGCUCAUCUAGCGGUCUGUCUGCACCGCCGGGAGCCCCGACGGCCUGUUCUCCGUCUGACCCCGUGCCCAGCCCACUGCCUGGGCAUCGGUAAUAAACAAGGGCUCGUGGGGUAAGUAGAUGCCUGAGCGAACGGGCGAAGAAACGUGUGAACACAAAAAACCACCACGAGCUCUACCACCUUGUCACUCUGGAAAGCUCAUCUCCAGUCUCCCCGAGAGAGGGUAAGGUUCUGUGACAGCAUCUGCAGAACAAUAAGCAAACACCGCCAGUGCCUCUGGGUUCCCCUGGUGAGUUUCAGAAGUGGGCAGGCGAGCACAGACCCUCCUCCAGCUCCCUCCCGGCCCCCAGCUCUGCUCCCGGCUGCCCCUCCCUCCGUCUCUGCUCUUUCCCCACUCACUCUCUGUCUCUCCCUCUGUCUCUCCCUCUGUCUCCCUCUGUCUCAUCUCUCUCCCUCUGUCUCUCUUCAACUCUGUCUCUCUGUCUCUCUGUAUCUCCCCCCGCUCUGUCUCCGUCUCUCUGUCUCUCUCUCUCUCUCUGUAUCUCUCUCUCUCCCUUUUCUCUGUCUCUGUCUCUCUCUCUGUAUCUCUCUAUCUCUCUCUGUAUCUCUCUCCCCCUUUCUCUCUGUCUCUCUGUACUCUCUUUGUCUCUCUCUCUGUCUCUCUCCCUUUCUCUCUCUCUCUGUCUCCCUCUCUUUGUCUCUGUCUCUCUGUAUCUCUCUCUCUGUCCCUCUCUCUGUCUCUCUCUCUCUCCCUCUCUCUGUCUCUCCCUCUCUCUGUCUCUCUCUCUCUCUGUAUCUCUCUCUCUCCCUUUCUGUCUCUGUCUCUCUCUUUGUGCUGUCUCUCUGUUCUCUCUGUGUCUCUGUCUCUCUGUGUGUGUCUCUCUCUGUCUCUCUCUGUCUCUCUGUGUGUGUCUCUCUCUGUCCCUCUCUCUGUCUCUGUCUCUCUCUGUCUCUCUCUCUGUCUCUCUGUGUGUGUCUCUCUCUGUCCCUCUCUCUGUCUCUCCCUGUCUCCCUCUGUCUCCCUCUCUCUGUCUCUGUCUCUGUGUAUCUCUCUGUCUCUCUGUCUCUGCCUCCCUCUCUCUCUGUCUCUCCCUCUCUCUCUGUCUCUCAUGCAUUUCCCUCCAUUCCCCUCCCAGCCCCAGCCCCCUUCAUCGAGGGCUCCCCAGGACUCUCAGAUGCCUUAGGAUGAGAUCUCACGUCCACCCCAGCCCCCUGGCCCUGCCUCAUU
This 1325-nucleotide long non-coding RNA is filed under the name Bos mutus (wild yak). RNAcentral describes it as "lncRNA (ENSBMUG00000016430.1)". Lineage: Eukaryota; Metazoa; Chordata; Mammalia; Artiodactyla; Bovidae. The record is from RNAcentral.